UGGGGAGUCGUCUAGUGGUAGGACAUGCGGCUCUGGACCGUAGUGCGGAGGUUCGAAUCCCCCCUCCCCAGCCA
RNAcentral lists this transfer RNA (74 nucleotides) under Actinomycetota bacterium. RNAcentral's name for it is "Actinobacteria bacterium tRNA-Gln". It matches the Rfam family "tRNA". From Rfam's summary of the family: Transfer RNA (tRNA) molecules are approximately 80 nucleotides in length. RNAcentral also lists the same sequence under 1 other name. The record is from RNAcentral. Lineage: Bacteria; Bacillati; Actinomycetota.